Molecule: ribosomal RNA, 509 nt
Filed under: uncultured bacterium
Lineage: Bacteria
Description: bacterial SSU rRNA
Rfam family: Bacterial small subunit ribosomal RNA
Source: RNAcentral
UAGUCCACGCCGUAAACGAUGAUUACUCGCUGUAGGCGAUACACAGUCUGUGGCUAAGCGAAAGUUUUAAGUAAUCCACCUGGGGAGUACGAUCGCAAGAUUGAAACUCAAAGGAAUUGACGGGGGCCCGCACAAGCGGAGGAACAUGUGGUUUAAUUCGAUGAUACGCGAGGAACCUUACCUGGGCUCUAAUGCGCGCGCUAUCUGCUGAAAGGCGGAGUUCCUUCGGGACGCAAAGCAAGGUGCUGCAUGGUUGUCGUCAGCUCGUGCCGUGAGGUGUUGGGUUAAGUCCCGCAACGAGCGCAACCCCUAUUUUUAGUUGCCAGCACGUAAUGGUGGGGACUCUAGAAAGACUGCCGGCGCAAGCCGAGAGGAAGGUGGGGAUGACGUCAAAUCAUCAUGGCCUUUAUGCCCAGGGCUACACACGUGCUACAAUGGACAGGACAAAGGGUCGCCAAACCGCGAGGUGGAGCUAAUCCCAGAAACCUGUUCUCAGUUCGGAUUGAAGU